This 73-nucleotide transfer RNA is filed under the name Spirochaetes bacterium GWB1_48_6. RNAcentral describes it as "tRNA-Lys". It matches the Rfam family "tRNA". From Rfam's summary of the family: Transfer RNA (tRNA) molecules are approximately 80 nucleotides in length. Their secondary structure includes four short double-helical elements and three loops (D, anti-codon, and T loops). Further hydrogen bonds mediate the characteristic L-shaped molecular structure. tRNAs have two regions of fundamental functional importance: the anti-codon, which is responsible for specific mRNA codon recognition, and the 3' end, to which the tRNAs corresponding amino acid is attached (by aminoacyl-tRNA synthetases). tRNAs cope with the degeneracy of the genetic code in two manners: having more than one tRNA (with a specific anti-codon) for a particular amino acid; and 'wobble' base-pairing, i.e. permitting non-standard base-pairing at the 3rd anti-codon position. Lineage: Bacteria; Pseudomonadati; Spirochaetota. The record is from RNAcentral.
GGGCUGGUAGCUCAGCUGGUAGAGCAACGCCCUUUUAAGGCGUGGGUCACAGGUUCGAAUCUUGUCCAGCUCA